RNAcentral lists this ribosomal RNA (1446 nucleotides) under uncultured organism. RNAcentral's name for it is "SSU rRNA". It matches the Rfam family "Bacterial small subunit ribosomal RNA". The record is from RNAcentral.
CUACAGGCUUAACACAUGCAAGUCGAGGGGCAGCAUAGUCUUAGCUUGCUAAGGCCGAUGGCGACCGGCGCACGGGUGAGUAACACGUAUCCAACCUGCCGUCUACUCUUGGACAGCCUUCUGAAAGGAAGAUUAAUACAAGAUGGCAUCAUGAGUCCGCAUGUUCACAUGAUUAAAGGUAUUCCGGUAGACGAUGGGGAUGCGUUCCAUUAGAUAGUAGGCGGGGUAACGGCCCACCUAGUCUUCGAUGGAUAGGGGUUCUGAGAGGAAGGUCCCCCACAUUGGAACUGAGACACGGUCCAAACUCCUACGGGAGGCAGCAGUGAGGAAUAUUGGUCAAUGGGCGAGAGCCUGAACCAGCCAAGUAGCGUGAAGGAUGACUGCCCUAUGGGUUGUAAACUUCUUUUAUAAAGGAAUAAAGUCGGGUAUGGAUACCCGUUUGCAUGUACUUUAUGAAUAAGGAUCGGCUAACUCCGUGCCAGCAGCCGCGGUAAUACGGAGGAUCCGAGCGUUAUCCGGAUUUAUUGGGUUUAAAGGGAGCGUAGAUGGAUGUUUAAGUCAGUUGUGAAAGUUUGCGGCUCAACCGUAAAAUUGCAGUUGAUACUGGAUAUCUUGAGUGCAGUUGAGGCAGGCGGAAUUCGUGGUGUAGCGGUGAAAUGCUUAGAUAUCACGAAGAACUCCGAUUGCGAAGGCAGCCUGCUAAGCUGCAACUGACAUUGAGGCUCGAAAGUGUGGGUAUCAAACAGGAUUAGAUACCCUGGUAGUCCACACGGUAAACGAUGAAUACUCGCUGUUUGCGAUAUACUGCAAGCGGCCAAGCGAAAGCGUUAAGUAUUCCACCUGGGGAGUACGCCGGCAACGGUGAAACUCAAAGGAAUUGACGGGGGCCCGCACAAGCGGAGGAACAUGUGGUUUAAUUCGAUGAUACGCGAGGAACCUUACCCGGGCUUAAAUUGCAGAUGAAUUACGGUGAAAGCCGUAAGCCGCAAGGCAUCUGUGAAGGUGCUGCAUGGUUGUCGUCAGCUCGUGCCGUGAGGUGUCGGCUUAAGUGCCAUAACGAGCGCAACCCUUGUUGUCAGUUACUAACAGGUUCCGCUGAGGACUCUGACAAGACUGCCAUCGUAAGAUGUGAGGAAGGUGGGGAUGACGUCAAAUCAGCACGGCCCUUACGUCCGGGGCUACACACGUGUUACAAUGGGGGGUACAGAGGGCCGCUACCACGCGAGUGGAUGCCAAUCCCCAAAACCUCUCUCAGUUCGGACUGGAGUCUGCAACCCGACUCCACGAAGCUGGAUUCGCUAGUAAUCGCGCAUCAGCCACGGCGCGGUGAAUACGUUCCCGGGCCUUGUACACACCGCCCGUCAAGCCAUGGGAGCCGGGGGUACCUGAAGUGCGUAACCGCGAGGAGCGCCCUAGGGUAAAACUGGUGACUGGGGCUAAGUCGUA